AUUUAAAUAGCUUAAAUUUAGAGCAUAAUAUUGAAGAUAUUAGGGUGAUUAAUWAAUAUWUAUAUA
RNAcentral lists this transfer RNA (66 nucleotides) under Junonia rhadama. RNAcentral's name for it is "tRNA-Phe". Lineage: Eukaryota; Metazoa; Arthropoda; Insecta; Lepidoptera; Nymphalidae. The record is from RNAcentral.